Molecule: long non-coding RNA, 2513 nt
Organism: Strigops habroptila (Kakapo)
Lineage: Eukaryota; Metazoa; Chordata; Aves; Psittaciformes; Psittacidae
Source: Ensembl
UGCACUUGGAAUGUUCUCUUUUUAUUUUAAAUAUACCUAUUACAAUAAUUUGUUAGGCUUAUAUAGAGCACUAUUAUUUACAUAAUUCAGUGUUUAUCCUUUGGGGAGAAUUCCAGUGCUGAAUAAAUAAGAGUCAGUGAGCUGCUUGUUAACCAUCUUGGAAUCAGAGUUCUGAAAUAUUAGUUUCACAUAGAUGAUUAAAGUCCUUGAAAUGGUUACAGUUUCCUGUAGUUUCAUAUAGUGAGUAUCUUCUGACUGCAGUCAGAUUUUGUUGAAAAGUCUGAACAUAGCUAUAGGGAAUCAGAAGAAAGUUUAACAACAACAUCAAAUUAAAAAAAAAAACCCUGAAAAACAUCAGUGGUUGAACCUCUACAUUUUUCAGAUGCAUCUCAGGGUGAUGAUAUUGUUAAGGGGAACAAAGAACAAAUUUGGUAAAAUUUUUGUUAUAAAAUGUCUAGAUCAUGGGGCGAAAUAUACAAUCACUAAUAAAUAAAAAAUACAGCUUUUUACAAGGUCACCUUUCAACAUGGCAUCUUAAAAUGUGCUUCCAGGUAAGAAUGGUUUUUAUUUUUUUAAAUUAAAAUUCAAUUUUCCAUGGUUACUAUUUCUUACACAUGAUUUUAUGCAUCAGAUAUAUACUAUAUAAAACACAUAAAAGAUUAAAUUGUCAGUACAAGGAAUAUCAUUAGCUGAGAACAUGAAACAAGGGUUCAUAUAAGAUACCACUCAAUGCUAUGUGUGUAAGCUCAAAUAGAAAGAGACUUUGGUCCUGAUCUUGCACUAAGAAAGUAAAAGUGGUCCCGUGUUUCCACAUACAGAACUUACUGUCUUUACGGAGAGCAUACUAGUCCUGUAUGUGUCAACCAUCCCAUUUUCACGUGACCCACCACAGAAAAUGGGUUUGAAUCAGGACAAGCAGCUGAAAGGUUUUUCUCCUAAUUCUCAUCAAUAUAUUUCAGAGGUCAAGUCCAUGGCACAUUAUGUGAGUAUCUGAAUAUCUAUGACAUUCAGCUAUGGCACUCAGUUUCGUUUCCCCAACGUACAGAAAGACAGAAGGGAAAUGCAGCUCGUAACUACCAGGCAUUUAUCUAACAAAUGUAACAUUAUUAGCAUUAUCAUGGAAUAGAAACUAUAGUUUAUUGACAACAUGCCUCUGUGUUCAACAAAACAUCUUCAAUUUUAGUAGCAUUACAGUUUGGCAAAGAAGAGUUUCUGAAUUAUCUUUGUUACAGAUUUCAAUCUGGCACAUUUAAGACACCCACCCACCUAUUCAAAUAAUAUUUUAAAGCAAAAUUAAUGUUUGAUAUAAAAUAACAGUUGUGUUGUAAAUGUGGAAAAAUAGUCUACAAAAAAUAAGUAUAAAAGUGAUCUCAGAUUUAUGAAUAUGUCUCAUAUAAACAAGUCCAGGUGACUAUUCUGUGUGUUAGAAAUGGCCCUUGGUAGGCUGUGUCACAACAGUACAUCACAUUUUUCACAGUUUACUAUAACACAGUUAGAUUCACAAUGUGAUGACACCUUAUUUAAGAAAAAUAGUAUUUUACAAACUAUACAUUUGGCAUCUAUUUUUAGGUUUUUUUUGUUUUUUUUCAGUUCCUUUUUUCAUUUUCCUGUUUUCUUUUCUUACAAAAUAGUGCAAAAUUACAGUGCGUUACUAGAAGAUUUUGCAAAUCCUAAUAAAAAGUCAGUAUAUUUAACUGUUUUGCUCAUUCACUGGAAACAGUUUGGCACGUUAGGAUUUUGUAUAGAUGGAAAAGUGUCUCAUUUUCUUCUUUUCAGUAUAUUCACUGAAUCUUUAAAACAUUAAAUUGCACAAAGGGGGUUAACUUUCCAAGCUUUUAAAUCUCAUCUCUUAUAACGUGUGUUACAAAACAAAACAGCAAAGGAAAAUGUAGAUUUUGGGGUUAAUUUAUUUGCCAAAGAGCAUAUGUCAGACUGGCUUUUCUUAUAUCGUAAAGAAAGAUAUUGAUGAGAAUAUUCUUCAUCUGGUGACUGCUGAAGUGUUUAGUUACAGCUUCAAAUGUUUGUAGGAAAUUUAUCCCAACUUUAUAUAUAUAUGUGUAAGUGUUGGUUUAUCAUAUAGCUUUCAAAUUUUGCUAUCAUGUAUGUCCCUGUAUCUGGCUGUAUCGAGUCAUGGGGAUAAAGUUUCAUCAAAGCCUGGUUUUGACUGGACUAAUUCAUAUAAAGAAUAACAAACAAUUGCUUUGGCUGCCAAUUUGCAAUGAUUAAGUGAUUUUCCUACUAAUUAUUUACUUCGGAAUGUUAAUGAAGAGUUCCCCCUGUAUGAAUACUUCAUUUUUACAGACUGGCACCAUAACUCAAAAAAAUACCAAUGCUCAUUUCUUGGAACAACAAAAUCUUCUGCAUAGUCAUAAACAGGUAUGGUACAGACUGCAGGAGUGAGAGUGUCCUAAGUCAUCCUGUGAGUGUGCCAAGAAACACACAGAAGAUGUCCGAUGAGCCUCAGGUCAGUUCUGUGCCUCCUUGGCUGAAAGCAGGAAUGAGAAACCUGACUG